RNAcentral lists this transfer RNA (85 nucleotides) under Felis catus (domestic cat). It matches the Rfam family "tRNA". From Rfam's summary of the family: Transfer RNA (tRNA) molecules are approximately 80 nucleotides in length. Their secondary structure includes four short double-helical elements and three loops (D, anti-codon, and T loops). Further hydrogen bonds mediate the characteristic L-shaped molecular structure. tRNAs have two regions of fundamental functional importance: the anti-codon, which is responsible for specific mRNA codon recognition, and the 3' end, to which the tRNAs corresponding amino acid is attached (by aminoacyl-tRNA synthetases). tRNAs cope with the degeneracy of the genetic code in two manners: having more than one tRNA (with a specific anti-codon) for a particular amino acid; and 'wobble' base-pairing, i.e. permitting non-standard base-pairing at the 3rd anti-codon position. Lineage: Eukaryota; Metazoa; Chordata; Mammalia; Carnivora; Felidae. RNAcentral also lists the same sequence under 1 other name. The record is from Rfam by way of RNAcentral.
GCCUGGGUGGCUCAGUCGGUUGAGUGUCUGACUUCAGCUCAGGUCAUGAUCUCACACUCCGUGAGUUCAAGCCCCGCAUCGGGCU